RNAcentral lists this unclassified non-coding RNA (200 nucleotides) under Candida tropicalis. Its description in RNAcentral is "partial contains small subunit ribosomal RNA, internal transcribed spacer 1, and 5.8S ribosomal RNA". Lineage: Eukaryota; Fungi; Ascomycota; Pichiomycetes; Serinales; Debaryomycetaceae. RNAcentral also lists the same sequence under 1 other name. The record is from RNAcentral.
UUUCCGUAGGUGAACCUGCGGAAGGAUCAUUACUGAUUUGCUUAAUUGCACCACAUGUGUUUUUUAUUGAACAAAUUUCUUUGGUGGCGGGAGCAAUCCUACCGCCAGAGGUUAUAACUAAACCAAACUUUUUAUUUACAGUCAAACUUGAUUUAUUAUUACAAUAGUCAAAACUUUCAACAACGGAUCUCUUGGUUCUC